Molecule: RNA transcript, 1562 nt
Organism: Jaculus jaculus (lesser Egyptian jerboa)
Lineage: Eukaryota; Metazoa; Chordata; Mammalia; Rodentia; Dipodidae
Gene name: saoe class I histocompatibility antigen, A alpha chain-like
Exons: 8
Source: RefSeq, a predicted model, not a curated record
CGCGGAGACGCCUACUGUCCGCAGCCUGGGCUGAGCGCGAUGUCGCCCCACACACUGCUUCUGCUGCUCGCGGCCGCCGCGGGACUGAGCCAGACCUGGGCGGGCGCCCACUCGCUGCUCUACUUCAAGACCGCCGUGUCCCGGCUCGGCCGCGGGGAGCCGCGGUUCAUCCUCGUCGGCUACGUGGACGACACGCAGUUCGUGCGCUUCGACAGCGACGCGGGGACGCGGAGGAUGGAGCCGCGGGCGCCGUGGAUGCGGCAGGUGGGGGCCGACUACUGGGACCUGGAGACGAGGAGCGCCCAGAACGAUGAGCAGACUUCGCGGGUGAACCUGCGGACCCUGCUGGGAUACUACAACCAGAGCGACGGCGGCUCUCACACCAUCCAGGUGAUGCACGGUUGUUCUGUGGGUCCUGAUGGACGCCUGCUCCGCGGGUACAAUCAACACGCCUAUGAUGGCCGCGAUUACAUCUCCCUGAACGAGGACCUGCGCUCCUGGACCGCGGCAGACACGGCGGCUCAGAUCACCCUGCGCAAGUGGGAGCAGGCUGAGGUGGCAGAGAGCUGGAGGGCCUACCUGGAGGGCACGUGCGUGGAGUGGCUCCACAGACACCUGCAGAACGGGAACGAGACUCUGCUGCGCACAGAUCCCCCAAAGUCACAGGUGACUCACCACCCCAGACCUGAAGGGGGUGUCACCCUGAGGUGCUGGGCCCGGUACUUCUACCCUGAGGAGAUCACCCUGAACUGGGAGCGGGAGGGAGAGGACCUGACCCAGGACAUGGAGCUUGUGGAGACCAGGCCUUCAGGGGAUGGAAGCUUCCAGAAGUGGGCUGCUGUGGUGGUGCCUUCUGGAGAGGAGCAGAAAUACACAUGCCACGUGCAGCAUGAAGGGCUGCCUGAGCCACUCACCGUGAGAUGGGAACCACCUCAGUCCCCCAUCCUCAUCAUAGCAGUGGUCACUGUCCUUGUGGUUCUCUUGGGCACUGGAGCUGCGGUUAUUGUGAGGAGGAGGAGGAAAUCAGGUGGAAAAGGAGGAAACUAUGCUCAGGCUCCGAACAGGGACAGUGCCAAGAGCUCUGACGUGUCUCUCACAGCUUGAAAAGGUGACACCCCAAGGGCGGGAAUUGGAAAGGGGGCAGAAGGGACAGAACUGUGUCACAGGACUCUCGGAGUCUGGACCUGUGAAGGAGAGCUGCCUUGUGGGACUGAAGGGCAGAAGAAGGGUUCACAUCUCUUAUUGUGACUCAGAAACCAAAUCUUCUUUCACCAGUGGUGUUGAACUUGUCUGUGUUGCCAGCGUGUCCACAUCCACCUCCUGUCCCCAGGACCACUGGGGAGAUGAGGUCACCCCCACAGUCAGAUGCUUUCUUUGCCCUGUCCUGUGUGUCCAUCCAAAACCCCUCUCUUGCAGCUCAGUGCAUUUCACUUCCCCGCUGGACAUAACAAUCUUAUUUUGAUUCAAAAUCUUAAUGUAGGACAUUGGUGGGUCAAUUAACAGAUAUGUUAUUCUAAAAUUUGAUGGAGGAAAUAAAGGGUUGCCUUGAGGACCUUCCAGAA